Molecule: ribosomal RNA, 429 nt
Filed under: Gemmatimonadota bacterium
Lineage: Bacteria; Pseudomonadati; Gemmatimonadota
Description: Gemmatimonadetes bacterium partial 16S ribosomal RNA
Rfam family: Bacterial small subunit ribosomal RNA
Source: RNAcentral
UAGGGAAUCUUCGGCAAUGGACGAAAGUCUGACCGAGCAACGCCGCGUGAGUGAAGAAGGUUUUCGGAUCGUAAAACUCUGUUGUUAGAGAAGAACAAGGACGUUAGUAACUGAACGUCCCCUGACGGUAUCUAACCAGAAAGCCACGGCUAACUACGUGCCAGCAGCCGCGGUAAUACGUAGGUGGCAAGCGUUGUCCGGAUUUAUUGGGCGUAAAGCGAGCGCAGGCGGUUUCUUAAGUCUGAUGUGAAAGCCCCCGGCUCAACCGGGGAGGGUCAUUGGAAACUGGGAGACUUGAGUGCAGAAGAGGAGAGUGGAAUUCCAUGUGUAGCGGUGAAAUGCGUGGAUAUAUGGAGGAACACCAGUGGCGAAGGCGGCUCUCUGGUCUGUAACUGACGAUGAGGCUCGAAAGCGUGGGGAGCAAACAGG